This 254-nucleotide ribosomal RNA is filed under the name uncultured bacterium. RNAcentral's name for it is "partial 16S ribosomal RNA". It matches the Rfam family "Bacterial small subunit ribosomal RNA", at positions 524 to 776 of the family's 1533-position model. The record is from RNAcentral.
UACGUAGGGGCCUAGCGUUGUCCGGAUUUAUUGGGCGUAAAGAGCUCGUAGGCGGUUCGGUAAGUCAGGUGUGAAAUCUCCAAGCUCAACGUGGAGGGGCCACCUGAUACUGCCGUGACUCGAGUCCGGUAGGGGAGUGUGGAAUUCCCGGUGUAGCGGUGAAAUGCGCAGAUAUCGGGAGGAACACCAGUAGCGAAGGCGGCACUCUGGACCGGAACUGACGCUGAGGAGCGAAAGCGUGGGCAGCAAACAGG